RNAcentral lists this unclassified non-coding RNA (1869 nucleotides) under uncultured fungus. RNAcentral's name for it is "sequence contains 18S rRNA gene, ITS1, 5.8S rRNA gene, ITS2, 28S rRNA gene". The stretch from base 726 to 1869 matches the Rfam family "Eukaryotic large subunit ribosomal RNA", at positions 1 to 961 of the family's 3401-position model. The record is from RNAcentral. Lineage: Eukaryota; Fungi.
GGAAGGAUCAUUAAUAUUUUCCAAACCUAAUGACAUUCGUUCCUAAUAUUGUGACGAAUGUUAUACCCCAAAAGCGAACUUUGUUGUUUUCCAAAAGAGAAAUGAAGGAAGGUGGAGCAAUCUGCCUGAUUUUUAUUUCUUCUUUUUUCUUUUUUUUUCUUUUCAAACCCAAAUGAAACUAAUUUGACUGAAACUUUUUCGCAUUGGGUAAUUCCAAUGAGAAAGAAAACGUUAAUGAGAAAAACAACUCUUAACAACGGAUAUCUUGGCUCUCGUAACGAUGAAGAACGCAGCGAAAUGCGAUACGUAAUGCGAAUUGCAGAAUUCAGUGAAUCAUCAAAUCUUUGAACGCAACUUGCGCUCUUGGGAUAUGCCUGAGAGCAUGCCUUUUUGAGUGUCGCAUCUACCUCUCCCUCAAAACUCUUUGUUGGGUUAUUGAAAAGGAGGACAAUGAGACUUUUCUGUGCUUUUACCGCGCAGUAUCUCGAAACGUAGAUGGAGAUGCUGGCCAUAAUCCGGAGCCUGCGGUUGCUUCGACAAGAAGCAGCUCUUUCGUUACCUCUUCGUGACGUGGGUAAACCCAAUAAAAACGUCUGCGAAUGCGGCGCAAGAGAAGUAAAUCGCAGAUCCACUAUGGAUUUUGGUUCAGCUCGAUCGAGUGCAUUUUCGAAAGAGAGUGUGCCCAACCGAACGUGGAAUUUUAUUCCGUGUUCAAAAACCCCAUAAGACCUCAAAUAAGGUAAGAGUACCCGCUGAACUUAAGCAUAUUAAUAAGCGGAGGAAAAGAAACUAACAAGGAUUCCCCUAGUAACGGCGAGUGAAGCGGGAAGAGCUCAAAAUGAAAAUCGGCGUGCCAAGCGGCCCGUCGAGUUGUAGUCUCGAGAAGCAUUGUCAGCGAGUGACCUCGGUAUAAAUCUUUUGGAACAAGGUAUCAUAGAGGGUGAGAAUCCCGUCUUUGACCGGGAGAUCGCCGCGUACGACAUGCUUUCUAAGAGUCGAGUUGUUUGGGAAUGCAACUCUAAAUGGGUGGUAAAUUUCAUCUAAAGCUAAAUAUGAACGAGAGACCGAUAGCGAACAAGUACCGUGAGGGAAAGAUGAAAAGAACUUUGAAAAGAGAGUUAAAAAGUACUUGAAAUUGUUAAGAGGGAAGCGAAGGCAACCAGUCGUUGCAGGGUGGUCGUCAGGACAUCAGGCUGUGGGUGUGUGGUUUUGAGCGAGUUCCGCAAGGUCUCUGCUCUGGCCGCUGGCAUCUACAGUGGGUGUUCACACGGCUGCUAUUGCGGAUCAGCAUCAAUUCGAACCGUGGGAGAAUACCGGGGGGAAGGUAGGGAGCAGCCGUAAAAAGCUGUUCCUGUUUAUAGCCCUACUGGUUACACCAUGGUUCGGAUUGAGGUCGAGCGGCUUCGCUCCCGGGCUCCUGCUGGCGGCUUGAUGGUGGACAACAAAGUUGUGCACUGUUUCGACCGUUGGUACUGGGUUUGGGUCAGCGGGAUCCGUGUUCGUGAUGCUGAUGAAAUGGUUUUCUUUGACCCGUCUUGAAACACGGACCAAGGAGUCUAACAUAUAUGCGAGUAUUUGGGUGAGUAAAACCCUGAUGCGUAAUGAAAGUAAAGGCUGGCUUGUCCAGCUGAGGUGAGAAUCUCGGCGUUUACAGCGCGUGGGAGGCAUCAUCGACCGAUCGUUUGCUUGCAAAAGAUUUGAGUAAGAGCAUAUCUGUUGGGACCCGAAAGAUGGUGAACUAUGCCUGAGCAGGGUGAAGCCAGGGGAAACUCUGGUGGAGGCUCGCAGCGAUACUGACGUGCAAAUCGUUCGUUUGACUUGGGUAUAGGGGCGAAAGACUAAUCGAACCAUCUAGUAGCUGGUUCCCUC